Molecule: ribosomal RNA, 253 nt
Filed under: uncultured bacterium
Lineage: Bacteria
Description: partial 16S ribosomal RNA
Rfam family: Bacterial small subunit ribosomal RNA
Source: RNAcentral
UGCGAAGGGUGCAAGCGUUACUCGGAAUUACUGGGCGUAAAGCGUGCGUAGGCGGUUUGUUAAGUCCGUUGUGAAAGCCCUGGGCUCAACCUGGGAAUUGCAGUGGAUACUGGCGAGCUAGAGUGCGGUAGAGGAUGGUGGAAUUCCCGGUGUAGCGGUGAAAUGCGUAGAGAUCGGGAGGAACACCCGUGGCGAAGGCGGCCAUCUGGACCAGCACUGACGCUGAGGCACGAAAGCGUGGGGAGCAAACAGG